UACGGAGGGGGCUAGCGUUGUUCGGAAUUACUGGGCGUAAAGCGUACGUAGGCGGCUUUGCAAGUUAGAGGUGAAAGCCCGGGGCUCAACCCCGGAAUUGCCUUUAAGACUGCAUCGCUUGAACGUCGGAGAGGUGAGUGGAAUUCCGAGUGUAGAGGUGAAAUUCGUAGAUAUUCGCAAGAACACCAGUGGCGAAGGCGGCUCACUGGCCCGGUACUGACGCUGAGGUGCGAAAGCGUGGGGAGCAAACAGG
RNAcentral lists this ribosomal RNA (253 nucleotides) under uncultured bacterium. RNAcentral's name for it is "partial 16S ribosomal RNA". It matches the Rfam family "Bacterial small subunit ribosomal RNA", at positions 524 to 776 of the family's 1533-position model. The record is from RNAcentral.